UACGUAGGGGGCCAGCGUUGUCCGAAGUUACUGGGCGUAAAGAGCGCGUAGGCGGGUUUUUAAGUGAGUGGUGAAAGGUUCGGGCUCAACCCGGACACUGCCUUUCAUACUGGAGACCUUGAGUGUAGGAGAGGCGAGUGGAAUGGUCGGUGUAGCGGUGGAAUGCGUAGAUAUCGAUCGGAACACCCAUGGCGAAGGCAGCUCGCUGGCCUAUAACUGACGCUGAGGCGCGAAAGCGUGGGGAGCAAACAG
RNAcentral lists this ribosomal RNA (252 nucleotides) under uncultured bacterium. RNAcentral's name for it is "partial 16S ribosomal RNA". It matches the Rfam family "Bacterial small subunit ribosomal RNA", at positions 524 to 775 of the family's 1533-position model. The record is from RNAcentral.